This is a non-coding RNA of Felis catus (domestic cat), 85 nucleotides long. The record is from Rfam. Lineage: Eukaryota; Metazoa; Chordata; Mammalia; Carnivora; Felidae.
ACCUGGGUGACUCAAUCGGUUGAGCAUCUGACUUCAGCUCAGGUCAUGAUUUCGUGGUUCGUGGGUUCAAGUCCUGCAUUGGGUU